CCCCAUAUUUUACAGCUAGAUGGAGCUAUGUGGUUGUAGCAUGUCUUUGGCAAGGAUUGCCUUGCAAGUAGGUGCAAUUCCUUGCACAAUAGCUGGAGGCACUGUGCCUCAUUUAUUGUUGGAGUAACAAGCCAAGAGAGGAUCUGCUGCUCGUUUCAAUGUAAUCCUGUCUCUCCCCGCACACAGUCGUCCGACAUGGCGACCAUGAAGAAGCUUCUCGGCGGUACAACCAGCAUCUGAACUCCAUUUGGCUCCACGCAAGCAGCCUGAACUGCGUCUGGAAGUGGAUGUAAAAUAUUUUGUAAAUUGGGAAUUAUACAGGUGGAUUAUCCACAUUUUAAAAACAGGGCUGUACGGUAGCACAACAGAGCACCAUGGUGGAGCCUGAGCACAGAGCAUCAGCAGCCCAGCGUCUUGGAGCCCAGGAGACCCUGGGCAUCAGCACCCUGGACCCUGGCCACCGGCCUCCAACAAUGCCCCCUGGACGCCACGUCUCCAUUAAGAUACGCAUGUUGGACGACACAGAAGAGGUCUUCGACGUCUCGCAAAGAGCCUCUGGCAAGGUGGUGUUUGACCUGGUGUGUACCCACCUGAACCUCGUUGAAGGGGACUACUUCAGCCUAGAGUACCAAGACCACCACAAGAUGAUGGUUUGGCUAGACCUCCUUAAGCCAAUAGUCAAGCAGCUGAGACGGCCCAAGCACACAGUCCUGCGAUUUGUGGUGAAGUUUUUCCCCCCUGACCACACCCAACUACUGGAGGAACUGACUAGGUACCUCUUCGCCCUGCAAGUCAAGCAUGACCUUGCCUGUGGACGUCUGGCCUGCAACGACAGUAGCGCGGCCCUGCUGGUCUCCCAUAUUAUCCAGUCUGAGAUUGGGGACUUUGAGGAGAGCCAGAGUCGGCAGCACCUCCUCAACAACAGCUACAUUCCAGACCAGGUGGCUCUGAUCGACAGGAUCAUGGAGUUCCACUCCAAGAAUGUGGGUCAGACGCCAGCAGAGUCGGACUACCAGCUGCUGGAGGUGGCACGCAGGCUGGAGCUGUACGGAGUGAGACUGCAUCCUGCCAAGGACCGCGAGGGCAGCAAGCUGAGCCUGGCCGUGGCGCACACUGGUGUCCUGGUCUUUCAGGGACACACCAAGAUCAAUGCCUUCAACUGGUCCAAAGUGCGCAAAUUGAGCUUCAAACGGAAGCGGUUUCUCAUCAAGCUCAGACCAGACCUGAACCAGAGCUCUUACCAGGACACUCUGGAGUUCCUGAUGGGUAGCAGGGACUGCUGUAAAGUAUUCUGGAAGAUCUGUGUGGAAUACCACGCCUUUUUCCGCCUCUUCGAGGAGCCCAAACCCAAACCCAAGCCUGUCCUCUUCACCCGAGGCUCCUCCUUCAGAUUCAGCGGUCGGACCCAGAAGCAGGUGAUUGAUUACGUGAAGGAUUCUGAGUUUAAGAAGAUUCCCUUUGAAAGGAAACACAGCAGGGUCCAACACAGCAGCAGCCGUCUGUCUCCACUGCCUUCCCCGCACCGCCCUCAAGUGCCAAAAGAAAGUGUGAGCCGUGCUCCAGGAGACAUAGUGGACUCUCCGCCACGCCGUCACUGGAAGGAGUCCGUGUUGGUGAGCGCCGAAGACCCAUCGGCCCUGCGGACCAGAAGCAGCCCCUCCAGCCAGAGGAAUGGGGCACACAGCGAGGAAAGGCCAGGCCCCGGGGCAGAACCAGGCCCAGCCAGGCAGCCCCACCCAGAACAUCUGAACACAGGAGUGGUGUCCAACAGCCCCCAUCUCUCUGCCUCCUCCGGUAACUCCCAGGGCAUGGUCAAUGGUCAGAAGCCGGUUGAGCUCUGUGGUCACAGUCCGGACGGUCGGCAGCCCUCCCCCCUUACCAGCCCCCUGCUCAACGAUGCCGGAAGCGUGCGCACCGACGAUGAAGACGAGGUUCGGAGGAAGAGAUUCCCCACCGACAAGGCCUACUUUAUUGCCAAGGAGCUGCUGACCACAGAGAGGACCUAUCUGAAGGACCUGGAGGUCGUGACUGUGUCUUUUCAGAACUUGGUGGGUAAAGAUGAAGCUGCACCGGACUCCCUGAAGAGCAUCAUCUUCUCCAACUUUGACCCUCUGUACAAGUUCCACUCCGGCUUCCUCAGAGAGGUGGAGCAGAGACUGGCUCUAUGGGAAGGGCGCUCCAAUGCCCACAUUAAAGGAGAUUACCAGCGCAUCGGUGAUGUCAUGCUGAAGAAUCUACAGGGCCUGAAGCCGCUGACUGCCCACCUCCAGAAGCACUCGGAGGCCCUGGUGGAGCUGGAGAAGGCAUGCCGGGGCUCCCGGCGGCUGGAGGUGCUGGUCCGGGACUUUGAGCUGCAGAAGGUGUGCUACAUCCCUCUCAACGUGUUCAUCCUCAGGCCCCUGCACCGCCUCUUGCAUUACAAGCAGAUCCUGGAGCGUCUGUGCAAACACUACCCCCCCACACACGUGGAUUUCAGGGACUGCAGAGCCGCGCUAGCGGACGUGUCAGAGGUGGUGGCCCAGCUCCACGGCAGCAUGAUCAAGAUGGAGAACUUCCAGAAGCUUCUGGAGCUUAAGAAGGAUUUGAUUGGCAUCGACAGUCUAGUCACUCCAGAGCGGGAGUUCAUCCGGCUAGGCUGCCUCAGCAAGCUGUCUGGCAAAGGCCUCCAGCAACGAAUGUUUUUCCUGUUCAAUGACGUCCUCUUGUAUACGAGUCGAGGGAUGACGGCGACGAACCAGUUCAAAGUGCAUGGGCAGCUCCCUCUCCAUGACAUGACAAUCCGGGAGAGCGAGGACGAGUGGGGUGUGCCUCACGCCUUCACCCUGGUUGGGCAGCGUCAGUCAGUGGUGGUAGCAGCUAGUUCCCUGUCAGAGAUGGAGAAGUGGAUGGAGGACAUUAAGAUGGCCAUUGACUUGGCAGAGACCAGCAACGGCCACACAGCUGACCUGCUGGCCAGAAGUCUGACUGAUAACAGUAAGUUGAUACUGCAGUACACAGACUCUAGAGCAUGGGCACUGGGCCUGCCGUAGGGGACAACUAGUAGUGUCUGGAGAAUCAUCCGACCCCGCGCGUUAAUGAGUUAUCGCUGAGUUCUCCCCAUUCUGUUCCCUCAUUGCACGGACAGUUGCUACUCUUCUAGAAACUUCAGAGGCAGAAUGGGCCAACCUAUACAUCCGAAAUGAGCUUGAAUAGCUCAAAUACAAUGCUUCAAAAUUGAUGGUUUAUAAAGUCUUGAAUUAAAUAAUUUUUCUAAUUUCCUACAGCCUGUCUGCAUGUAUUUACAAACCUAGCCACUAUGAAGUAUUGUGCUACUAUUUAUCUCAUCAGGUUUUACAGUAGGAUCCGUCUUCCCACGUUGUCGCCGUGUGUAUGUGGAAUUAACCGCUUCCUGAAUUUCCCAGAAUCCACAACAGAGGACUCCUGUGCGGAGACGGAGUCUGAGGACGACCUGAUGGCGUCACGCACCUCCCUGGAGAGGCAGGCCCCUCACCGUGGUAACACCACGGUGCACGUGUGCUGGCACAGGAACACCAGCGUGUCCAUGGUGGACUUUAGCAUAGCUGUGGAGGUACCACAACCAGUCCUAACCUGUCCUGCUCUGCCCUCCCCUCCCCCAUCUCUCUCUCACUCACUAUGUAUCUGAGUGUGUAUCUGUUUCCUCUCCUUAUUGAAUGUGCUUCUCUCCCCUGGGAACAAUGUCCUCCUGUGCCACCCUCUCUCUCUGUCCUGUGCUAUUUAGACAUUAGAUUACCUCAGUGCUUUGUCCCCAAGCUGUUGGCACUGUCUCGUCUGUGAACUGCUACAUAGGACACUCGGCAGGAUGUCACCGUCGUUUUUCGGUCUUGAACAGCACAUCUCAGUGCAGCUGAGACGGCAUCUUUCAAGCCGUUUAUUUUCUCUGUUAUGUUGUAUACUGAGCUCAGAGCAAGACCAGACUUUAGCAUGAGGUGGGUGCACUGACAGGACACUGUUCUCAUCUUGCCCUCUGUGGCUAACGGUUCCAGUGUGGUUUUCUUAUCUAAUCUCUACUGUGGAUGUCCCGUGUGGUUUUGCGCUCCUUUUUUCUCUCCUUCAGAGCCGUACCUGGACUCACCGUUAGUCCCCCCCCCCCCCCCCUCCGUGUUUAGCCCUUGCAGUGCAUGCGUGUUUACACCUACUCAGUCUUUGUGUCUCUGUCCUCUCCUCCCUCCCCCCCUCUCUCUUUUCUGUCUGUCUCUUCUGUUUGUCCGUCUGCCUGUCCUCCGUGGUAGAGGACCCUAGUCCAGUCAGUGACUCAGAGGCCUCCCUCUCGGGGCCCGGCAGUGGCCAGGGACCAGUGCCUCUGUCUCUUAUCUGCUGGUAUCGAGUUCACAGCCUCUCCUUUAGUGAUUCCUGCAGGAGUCUAGAGAAUCAGCUGUCAGGAAACCUGCUGAGGAAGUUCAAGAACAGCAACGGCUGGCAGAAACUCUGGGUGGUCUUCACCAACUUCAGCCUGUUCUUCUACAAGACCCACCAGGAUGAUUAUCCUUUGGCCAGUCUCCCCCUGUUGGGCUACUCGGUCACCAUCCCCACUGAGUCUGAAAACAUCCACAAGGACUAUGUCUUCAAACUGCAUUUCAAAUCCCACGUCUACUACUUCAGAUCUGAGAGCGAAUACACUUUUGAGAGGUGGAUGGAGGUCAUUCGCAGUGCCACCGUCUCUGCCAGCAGCACCCGCAUUCUGAGCCGGAAAGAGCCCCAUCCGUACUGAUCCAAAGAGCAAGGGCUCUCUCCCUGUCUCCAUGCCUCUUCUCCCUACCACAAUCUCCCAUAGGGUCUGGCCACAUCUAGCCUCUCAUCACACUACGACUCCCCAAGCAGCAAGCUGAAGCAGAGCCCCUCUGGAGCCACAUUCACUUCACUUCUCUGGACACUCUUGAUUUCCUUUUCUACACAUAUCUGGGACAUAUGUACAUUGAGCAGUGUCCAUGCACAAUCUUGGUGCUUUUUAAUGCUUUAAUGGUGACAUGUCCGCUGGUUUAGACUGCAUCAGAGACUGCAUUUUCAGCAUUUUUACUCAGCUCUGAACCUCUUUUUGUAGGAUGCCAUUUUAUACUGUUUUCUAACGGGCUGAAUCACUUACUGUACUUCUGGUUUCACAUUCUGUCAUUGGAUUGUUUUUAUGGUGGGAACAUGUUGAUACAGAGAUUCUGCAUUUUUAAACUUUUUUUUCAUAGAUGGUUAGAAUAUCACUGCAUCCUCAAGAUUUUUGUCUCCUUGUUUACUUUAAGGGGGAAAAUAAUAAUGAAAAAAUGAUAAUAAAAAAGUGCCAAACAGUUGAACCAUUUUCCUACACUUUUAAUGCAAUUUUACUACAUUGGUGGUGAGGAGACUUGAAAUGUGUUGUAAGAAAAAA
Molecule: RNA transcript, 5374 nt
Organism: Oncorhynchus kisutch (coho salmon)
Lineage: Eukaryota; Metazoa; Chordata; Actinopteri; Salmoniformes; Salmonidae
Gene name: FERM, ARHGEF and pleckstrin domain-containing protein 1
Exons: 26
Source: RefSeq, a predicted model, not a curated record